GCCAGCAUGGUGUAGUGGUUUGAGCAUUGGGCUAUGACCUUGGAGACCAGGGUUCGAAUCUCUGCUUGGCC
Molecule: non-coding RNA, 71 nt
Organism: Phrynosoma platyrhinos (Desert horned lizard)
Lineage: Eukaryota; Metazoa; Chordata; Lepidosauria; Squamata; Phrynosomatidae
Source: the annotation of a GenBank genome assembly